This is a long non-coding RNA of Triticum dicoccoides, 1065 nucleotides long. RefSeq lists it as uncharacterized. Lineage: Eukaryota; Viridiplantae; Streptophyta; Magnoliopsida; Poales; Poaceae. The transcript has 3 exons. The record is from RefSeq and is a predicted model, not a curated record.
UUUAAUUUGCUAGGCGGGGUUGGCAAUUAUUUUUGGAGCGAUCCAAUCUCGCACCGUCCUCUUGGUUUCUCAAUCCCGAUCCAAUCUUCCAAUCCCCUUCGCCGCUCCUCUCCCACGUUCCCACUCCCGUCCACCUCCGCCGCCCCCACCAUCGACGCAACAACUGCAGCCACCGCCGCCAUCGGGUCCCCGAGGAAGCCUCCUGCAACGGCGACAGUCGGGCCGGGAGGAAGAGCCCGCCGUGCGCCUGCUCUUCUCGACGCUCUCGGGACGCUCGUCCAUGGCGUUAUCUUCGCAGCAGCUCCCGCGUUUCUUCCCCGACGCUGCGCUCCGGAACGCGGCCGACCCCUCCAGCACGUUGACGCACGCGUCACUACCUUCGUGGCCCUCCUCCAACGUCCACCGCGGUGGGAGCGGAGGUGCAGCCCUGCCACGACGGACACCUCCUUCCCGCGCUCCCCCCGCCUCCCGGCGUCUGAUGGUCGUCGUCAGCCACCACAGUGGGCAAGGCCAACCUCCACGACGACUAGAUCCGCCACCACCGUCACGACGAUGGCCGUCUUCCACGGCCACCCCCUACCCGCCUCACUGUCGGAUCAGUCGUCCAGGGACUCCACCCGCGCAUGCUUCACAUACUACAAUCAUGCUACUAGUUUUGUAGAUUGAGGGAAAGGAUGGCAUUUCUUGAGGAAGAUAAAGGCAUGGUUGAUGCGUAUGCUAGGCCAAGGGAUGCACAUAUUGCAUUGGGAGGACUUAAUUGUGAGACUUGAAGCACAAGAGAGAGUGCUUGAAGAGAUGGAGAAGAAACAACAAGAAGAAUUUGAAGCUGUGAAGAAGAGCCAACAAGACAAGAGUGAAGCCGGGGGAAAGAAGCAACAUGAAAUGGAUAAACUAAUGGCUUUUUCUCUCAAGUGCUCAAGCAACUUUAGUCUGAGUCCAAACCUGUGUGACUGAUUUGUGGUUAUCUAAAUGGUACUUUGCAACUUGUCUAUUGUAGCGAGUGCUAAAACUUGUGAAUUUGGCUAAGAUGAUUGCACUUAUAAUGUGAUUUGUCUUUUAUUUAAA